This 437-nucleotide ribosomal RNA is filed under the name uncultured bacterium. RNAcentral's name for it is "bacterial SSU rRNA". It matches the Rfam family "Bacterial small subunit ribosomal RNA", at positions 954 to 1392 of the family's 1533-position model. The record is from RNAcentral.
AUGGGAACGCGAAGAACCUUACCUAGACUUGACAUCUCCUGAAUAGUGUAGAGAUACAUGAAGCCCUUCGGGGCGAGGAAGACAGGUGGUGCAUGGUUGUCGUCAGCUCGUGUCGUGAGAUGUUGGGUUAAGUCCCGCAACGAGCGCAACCCUUAUUACUAGUUGCUACCAUUAAGUUGAGCGCUCUAGUGAGACUGCCCGGGUUAACCGGGAGGAAGGCGGGAGUGACGUCAAAUCAUCAUGCCCCUUAUGUCUAGGGCAACACACGUGCUACAAUGGUGAGUACAGAUAGAUGCGAUACCGCAAGGUGGAGCCAAACUCUAAAACUCAUCCCAGUUCGGAUUGUAGGCUGCAACUCGCCUACAUGAAGUUGGAGUUGCUAGUAAUCGCGAAUCAGAAUGUCGCGGUGAAUACGUUCCCGGGUCUUGUACACACCG